This 331-nucleotide unclassified non-coding RNA is filed under the name soil metagenome. Its description in RNAcentral is "partial contains 5.8S ribosomal RNA, internal transcribed spacer 2, and large subunit ribosomal RNA". The stretch from base 1 to 120 matches the Rfam family "5.8S ribosomal RNA", at positions 35 to 154 of the family's 154-position model. The record is from RNAcentral.
GAUGAAGAACGUAGUGAAAUGCGAUAAGUAAUGUGAAUUGCAGAAUUCAGUGAAUCAUCGAAUCUUUGAACGCACAUUGCGCCCCCUGGUAUUCCGGGGGGCAUGCCUGUUCGAGCGUCAUUUCACCACUCAAGCCUCGCUUGGUAUUGGGCAACGCGGUCCGCCGCGUGCCUCAAAUCGACCGGCUGGGUCUCCUGUCCCCUAAGCGUUGUGGAAACUAUUCGCUAAAGGGUGUUCGGGAGGCUACGCCGUAAAACAACCCCAUUUCUAAGGUUGACCUCGGAUCAGGUAGGGAUACCCGCUGAACUUAAGCAUAUCAAUAAGCGGAGGA